This 56-nucleotide transfer RNA is filed under the name Trapelus flavimaculatus. Its description in RNAcentral is "tRNA-Cys". Lineage: Eukaryota; Metazoa; Chordata; Lepidosauria; Squamata; Agamidae. The record is from RNAcentral.
GCCAUAAACAGUGGCUAAAGUGCAAAUUUAGCUUGGAAAUGUUUUUCAGUAGGCCU